Molecule: ribosomal RNA, 253 nt
Filed under: uncultured bacterium
Lineage: Bacteria
Description: partial 16S ribosomal RNA
Rfam family: Bacterial small subunit ribosomal RNA
Source: RNAcentral
UACGGAGGGCGCAAGCGUUGUUCGGAAUUACUGGGCGUAAAGCGCGUGUAGGCGGCCUUGUAAGUCGGAGGUGAAAGCCCGGGGCUCAACCUCGGAACUGCAUUCGAUACUGCAAGUCUCGAGUCCGGAAGAGGUGAGUGGAAUUCCUGGUGUAGAGGUGAAAUUCGUAGAUAUUAGGAAGAACACCAGUGGCGAAGGCGGCUCACUGGUCCGGUACUGACGCUGAGGCGCGAAAGCGUGGGGAGCAAACAGG